UUCAAAGACGAAGUGGAAGUUGUGGAAGAAUUCGUGUUUAAAUCGCAGGAUUCUAGUGAGAUUCUAGUGCAGGUGGAGGUGAUUUCAGCGUUCAAAAAUUAUCGAGCGAUCGGAAGUAAAAGCCUUGGUCCAGCCACCUUUCUUAGAGAAUGGGUCUCCAAGCGUGACGACCGAAUCGUUCCUUCCAGCGAUCGAUCCGGAGACGACGGCACAAACCGCCGUCUAUCGAGAGCAGUGGACGGCCACUUAAGAACUUCUUAAGAGAUAUCGAUCAUUACAACUCAUUGGAACAAAUGUUUCUAACCCGGGAGGACCGAAUUGCGGUUACAAACAUUGCUAUGGUCGAGUUCUACUACCGGUUACCGGACCAAGUUCGGGAAGUUUCAGUGCAAUUAUCCAGAUUCUUAGAAGAAAAGGCGACUUACUUCACUCGACGGCAACUUGUCAGAAGAUGUUUAAAAUGUCAACUUGCUAUCGUUGUCGAAUCACUUUUUAUCGUGCAAACAUCCGUUCGGCAAGACUGCCAAAUCCAAACCUCUUACUUACGGAAAACUGACUUUCGAUAUUG
Molecule: long non-coding RNA, 568 nt
Organism: Culex quinquefasciatus (southern house mosquito)
Lineage: Eukaryota; Metazoa; Arthropoda; Insecta; Diptera; Culicidae
Exons: 4
Source: RefSeq, a predicted model, not a curated record